CCCUUAGAUGUCCUGGGCCGCACGCGCGCUACACUGAACGGUUCAAUGGGUAAGGUAGUGCGAAAGCAUGACCUAAUCUCGAAAUCCGUUCGUGCUGGGGAUAGAAGCUUGCAAUUAUCCUUCUUGAACGAGGAAUACCUUGUAAGCGUGAGUCAUCAUCUCACGCUGAAUACGUCCCUGCCCUUUGUACACACCGCCCGUCGCUCCUACCGAUUGAGUGUUCCGGUGAGGCUUUGGGAGAAUGGCCUCAACAUGAGUUUAUCGUGUUUUGCCGUUUGAACUUAGUCAAACCUUAUCACUUAGAGGAAGGAGAAGUCGUAACA
This 323-nucleotide ribosomal RNA is filed under the name uncultured eukaryote. RNAcentral describes it as "partial 18S ribosomal RNA". It matches the Rfam family "Eukaryotic small subunit ribosomal RNA", at positions 1470 to 1796 of the family's 1831-position model. The record is from RNAcentral.